Molecule: ribosomal RNA, 1161 nt
Filed under: Triticum aestivum (bread wheat)
Lineage: Eukaryota; Viridiplantae; Streptophyta; Magnoliopsida; Poales; Poaceae
Description: partial small subunit ribosomal RNA
Source: RNAcentral
AUGCUCCACCUCCGGCAGCGCGUCCUCUCUCAUCUCCUCUCCGCGGCACCAACUCCCUCUACCUCUCCACUCCUCCGGCACCGCCUCCUCUCCGCCGCCGCGCCCGCCAUUUCCCCGAAUCCUAGCUUCGCCGUCGAGGAGUACCUCGUCGCCACCUGCGGCCUCACCCGUGCGCAGGCACUCAAGGCCUCCUCCAAGCUCUCCCACCUCAAGUCCUCCGCCAACCCCGACGCCGUGCUCGCCUUCCUCGCCGGCCUCGGCCUCUCCGGCGCUGAUGUCGCGGCCGUCGUCGCCAAGGACCCGCAGUUCCUCUGCGCCGGCGUGGAGAGAACCCUGUCCCCCAUCGUCGACGGGCUCACCGGCCUCGGACUGUCGCGUUCUGAAAUCGCGCGACUCGUCUCGCUCGCCCCGGUCAAAUUCAGCCGUAGAUCCGUCGUCUCCAAGGUAGAGUAUUACCUGCCGCUCUCUGGCUCCAUCGACAACUUGCUCCGGCCCCUCAAACACGGCUCCGGCUUCCUCGGCUCCCACCUCGAGAGGGUGGUCAAGCCCAAUGUGAAGCUCCUAGCAGAGUGCGGGCUAGGUGCUUGUGAUAUUGCCAAGCUCUUCAUCCGUGAGCCAAGGAUGAUUAGCGCCAAACCAGGGCGUGUCCUGGCGAUGGUUGCGUGCGCUGAACGUUUAGGUGUGCCCCGUGGCUCUGGAAUGUUCAGGCAAGCGCUGCACACCAUCUCAUGCUUCAGCGAGGACAAGAUCGCUGCCAAACUGGACUACUUGAAGAAGACACUUAGGUGGUCAGAUGGCGAGGUCCGCAUUGCUGUGUCCAAGUGUCCGGUUUUGCUGAGUAGGUCAAAUGAUGUGCUGCAGCGCCUGUCAGAGUUCCUUAUCUCUGAGGCGGGGUUGGAGCCGGCCUACAUUGCACAUCGCCCUGCUAUGCUCACUUACAGCCUGGAGGGACGGCUUAGGCCCCGCUACUAUGUUGUGAAAUUUCUUAAGGAGAGUGGAUUGCUAAAUCAUGACAGAGACUACUAUAGUAUGGUGGUGGUCAGCGAGAAGGAAUUUGUGGAGAAGUUCAUAUGCCCUCACAAGCAAGCUGCACCACACCUUGCUGAAGACUAUGCAGCUGCUUGCACAGGGCAGGUGCCUGCUACAUUCAGAUUUACAUGA